GGUGGAAAGGCCAUAGCUCAGUGAUAGAACAUCUGCCUUGCAAGCAGGAGAUUUCAGGUUGAACCCCUGCCAUCU
Podarcis lilfordi (Lilford's wall lizard) is the source of this 75-nucleotide non-coding RNA. Lineage: Eukaryota; Metazoa; Chordata; Lepidosauria; Squamata; Lacertidae. The record is from the annotation of a GenBank genome assembly.